This is a small nucleolar RNA of Cebus imitator (Panamanian white-faced capuchin), 109 nucleotides long. RefSeq annotates it as small nucleolar RNA U13. The transcript has a single exon. The record is from RefSeq and is a predicted model, not a curated record. Lineage: Eukaryota; Metazoa; Chordata; Mammalia; Primates; Cebidae.
AUCGUCUGAGAGGUUUUACAGUGUGAUUUCUAAGUGUAAUGAUCCGGUUUUCACACUGUUAUGUGAGGUGUGCCUCCCUCAAACCUUUUGAGCACAUUACUGUCUGACG